GAAGUAAAAGUCGUAACAAGGUCUCCGUUGGUGAACCAGCGGAGGGAUCAUUGCUGGAAAGGGCGCAAGCCCCCACCAGAAACCCACUGUGAACAUACCUGUCGUCGUUGCCUCGGCGGUGCCGGGCGCCCCAACCCCCCCGGGGGGCGGGGCCCCCCAGCGGCUUCGGCUCGCUGGAGCAGCCCGCCGGCGGCCCUACAAACUCUUGUUUUUAACCGUCUCUCUGAGCAAACUUACAAAUAAGUAAAAACUUUCAACAACGGAUCUCUUGGUUCUGGCAUCGAUGAAGAACGCAGCGAAAUGCGAUAAGUAAUGUGAAUUGCAGAAUUCAGUGAAUCAUCGAAUCUUUGAACGCACAUUGCGCCCUCUGGUAUUCUAGAGGGCAUGCCUGUUCGAGCGUCAUUUCAACCCUCAAGCGCACUUGCUUGGUGUUGGGGCACUACCCGACCGCCCCGGCGGCGGUAGGCCCCCAAAGACAGCGGCGAGCUCGCCAGUUCCCCGAGCGCAGUAGUUUUACCACCUCGCUCCGGGCGGACUGGCGCGGCCCUGCCGUAAAACCCCCCAAAACAUCAAAAGGUUGACCUCGGAUCAGGUAGGAAUACCCGCUGAACUUAAGCAU
RNAcentral lists this ribosomal RNA (619 nucleotides) under Diaporthales sp. 3 ICMP 18916. RNAcentral's name for it is "eukaryotic LSU rRNA". The stretch from base 249 to 402 matches the Rfam family "5.8S ribosomal RNA". The record is from RNAcentral. Lineage: Eukaryota; Fungi; Ascomycota; Sordariomycetes; Diaporthales.